Molecule: ribosomal RNA, 424 nt
Filed under: uncultured Chroococcales cyanobacterium
Lineage: Bacteria; Bacillati; Cyanobacteriota; Cyanophyceae; Chroococcales
Description: bacterial SSU rRNA
Rfam family: Bacterial small subunit ribosomal RNA
Source: RNAcentral
UGGGGAAUUUUCCGCAAUGGGCGAAAGCCUGACGGAGCAACGCCGCGUGAGGGAUGAAGGCCUCUGGGCUGUAAACCUCUUUUCUCAAGGAAGAAGAUCUGACGGUACUUGAGGAAUAAGCCACGGCUAAUUCCGUGCCAGCAGCCGCGGUAAUACGGGAGUGGCAAGCGUUAUCCGGAAUUAUUGGGCGUAAAGCGUCCGCAGGCGGUCUUGUAAGUCUGUCGUCAAAGCGUGGAGCUUAACUCCAUUUAAGCGAUGGAAACUGCAAGACUAGAGUGUGGUAGGGGCAGAGGGAAUUCCCGGUGUAGCGGUGAAAUGCGUAGAUAUCGGGAAGAACACCAGUGGCGAAGGCGCUCUGCUGGGCCAUAACUGACGCUCAUGGACGAAAGCCAGGGGAGCGAAAGGGAUUAGAUACCCCUGUAGU